Non-coding RNA from Rattus norvegicus (Norway rat), 69 nucleotides. The record is from Rfam. NCBI's taxonomy places the organism in Eukaryota, Metazoa, Chordata, Mammalia, Rodentia, Muridae.
GGGGGUUUAGCUCAGUGGUAGAGCGCUUGCCUAGCAAGCACAAGGCCCUGGGUUCGGUCCCCAGCUCCA